Molecule: microRNA, 24 nt
Filed under: Nematostella vectensis (starlet sea anemone)
Lineage: Eukaryota; Metazoa; Cnidaria; Anthozoa; Actiniaria; Edwardsiidae
Description: nve-miR-9464
Source: miRBase by way of RNAcentral
UCUGAGAAGAUUUCGACAAGAAAC